RNAcentral lists this ribosomal RNA (383 nucleotides) under uncultured bacterium. Its description in RNAcentral is "bacterial SSU rRNA". It matches the Rfam family "Bacterial small subunit ribosomal RNA", at positions 30 to 414 of the family's 1533-position model. The record is from RNAcentral.
AUUGAACGCUGGCGGAAUGCCUAACACAUGCAAGUCGAACGAGUUGUGUAGCAAUACAUGACUAGUGGCGGACGGGUGAGGAACACAUAGGAAUCUACCCUUGUAGUGGGGAAUAACCCGGGGAAACCCGGACUAAUGCCGCAUACGCACUAAGGUGGAAAGCGGGGGAGUCGUAAGACCUCGCGCUAUAGGAUGAGCCUAUGUCGGAUUAGCUAGUUGGUAGGGUAACGGCCUACCAAGGCGACGAUCCGUAGCUGGUCUGAGAGGACGGUCAGCCACACUGGAACUGAGACACGGUCCAGACUCCUACGGGAGGCAGCAGUGGGGAAUAUUGGACAAUGGGGGAAACCCGUGAUCCAGCAAUUCCGCGUGGGUGAAGAAGG